Non-coding RNA from Acanthosepion pharaonis, 112 nucleotides. The record is from the annotation of a GenBank genome assembly. NCBI's taxonomy places the organism in Eukaryota, Metazoa, Mollusca, Cephalopoda, Sepiida, Sepiidae.
UAGGGCCAUAUCAUGUUGAAACACCAGUACCCAUACAAUCACCAAAAUUAAGCAAUAUUGAGCCUAGUCAGUACCCCGAUGUGUGACUGCUUGGGAAUACCAGGUGUUGUAA